Molecule: microRNA, 23 nt
Filed under: Bos taurus (domestic cattle)
Lineage: Eukaryota; Metazoa; Chordata; Mammalia; Artiodactyla; Bovidae
Description: bta-miR-2465
Source: miRBase by way of RNAcentral
UGAGCCACAGUAGAGCCUUGGAU